This 501-nucleotide ribosomal RNA is filed under the name uncultured bacterium. Its description in RNAcentral is "partial 16S ribosomal RNA". It matches the Rfam family "Bacterial small subunit ribosomal RNA", at positions 30 to 523 of the family's 1533-position model. The record is from RNAcentral.
AUUGAACGCUGGCGGCAGGCUUAACACAUGCAAGUCGAGCGGGGUGAUGUAGCCUGCUACAUUACCUAGCGGCGGACGGGUGAGUAAUGCUUAGGAAUCUGCCUAUUAGUGGGGGACAACAUUCCGAAAGGAAUGCUAAUACCGCAUACGCCCUACGGGGGAAAGCAGGGGAUCUUCGGACCUUGCGCUAAUAGAUGAGCCUAAGUCAGAUUAGCUAGUUGGUGGGGUAAAGGCCUACCAAGGCGACGAUCCGUAGCGGGUCUGAGAGGAUGAUCCGCCACACUGGGACUGAGACACGGCCCAGACUCCUACGGGAGGCAGCAGUGGGGAAUAUUGGACAAUGGGCGAAAGCCUGAUCCAGCCAUGCCGCGUGUGUGAAGAAGGCCUUUUGGUUGUAAAGCACUUUAAGCGAGGAGGAGGCUACUUGGAUUAAUACUCUAGGAUAGUGGACGUUACUCGCAGAAUAAGCACCGGCUAACUUCGUGCCAGCCGCCGCGGUAA